AUGUUGUUUGCUACCUCGAGGGCUGUGCAAUCAGGUAAAUAUCAUGGUUCGGAAAAAAAUUGGGGCUGUAAAGAUGGAAAGAGAAAGACAACAUGGGUGUCUUGGGAUGAUCUGGCCAUGCGUAAGUACAUGGGGGGUUUGGGGUUCUGGGAUACGGAGAUUUUCAACCUUGUCAUGUUCGAAAAGCAAGGAUGGCGGAUUCUUCAGGAGCCGAGUUCGCUGAGCGUGCGGAUUCUCAAAGCAAAGUACGUCCCAUCUUCUGACUUGCUAGAAUCGAAGCUUGGAUCCCAACCAUCUCAAGUGUGGUGAGUUGUUCAUGCAGGCCUAGAAGUUUUGAAACGGGGACUUGUCCGGCGUAUUGGAGAUGGGAAACCAGCGCACGAUUGGAAUCAUAACAAGGAAUUAGGACAACUCCCCUGUUCUUGA
This 426-nucleotide ribosomal RNA is filed under the name Triticum aestivum (bread wheat). RNAcentral describes it as "partial small subunit ribosomal RNA". Lineage: Eukaryota; Viridiplantae; Streptophyta; Magnoliopsida; Poales; Poaceae. The record is from RNAcentral.